GCCACGCGCGCACUCAUAGCGCGAGCGCACACACACUCUCACUCACACACUCAUCUCGCACGCACCCACCGCACGUACACGCGCGCACAAGACUUGGUGCGCGCACACUGCUCGUCACACGCAGGCAACGCAGUCGCGCGCAGCACUCGCACUCGCACGCACGCACUCUGAGCAGCCGCGAUGCUCCCAUCCUCCCACCCCUCUCUGCCCGAGCAGCAUCAUCGGGAGAGAUGGCAGCCGACAGACGCUCCCCCUCGCCGAUCAAUCGCCGCCGCCGCCGCUCAUCUGCGUUGCGCCGACCGCAUUGGGAACACGCCACUGCGCUCGCUCGCUCCGCCUGUGUGCAGGAGGGCGCAGCGGUUUCUGCCAGGACAGCCGGCGAAUCCAGCAGCCGCCUGGGAACGAUGCGGAGACGUCGCCUGCCGUGCCGCAAGCACCGACGUCACAACGAAAACUCCGAAAACUCCGAGGUCGAGCGCCUGGAAAUGGCUUAAUUGCCAGACCUGGGCUUAAUAAAUACACUUUGGCGAAUCACCUGCGAUAACGGCUCUGAAUGCUUCACCGUUGGCUGACAUUCCGCCAUCUCUCUCCCGUGUCACCAUCUCUCCAUAGAGCCGCCACCUCUCUCCAGUGUCGCCAUGUCACCACGUCAACUCAAAUAUACUUUAGAGGAGAGAUUCGCUUUGCAGAUGUGCGACGGCGAUGAAACGGUGUCGCUGCCCUUUCAUCAAAGCAACGGCGACUCUGAGUGGACAGAAAUUCAUCCAGCGUGACGACGACUAUGACUACCCAGCAAAGAUCAGAGUGCGACUGACUGUGACUAGAUGAACUUAACGAGUCUGAAUGAACAUACAGACCGCACCUAUGAUUAGCACAGUUGACUACAUAUGGAGCAAAAGAGGUUCAAAACGCAUACAUACAUUAUAAUUAGAGACUGUAAUGCAAUGAGGAAGACCGAGCGUGGUAAUUGGCUGUACAUAUACAGUAUAUAUAUUUUCAUUAUGGAUGAAAAUAUAUAUUGAGUCCACUGAUUGGCUCACGUUCUGAAACUUGUAGUGGGGAAGGAGGGGGGGUUAUGCGGUCUUCACAUCAACACUAAAUAACUCAAAGCAUGUGACUUAAUGUGAGACGCCGCUUUAGCCGACGCGACAAAGAGGAUGAGUCCACGACAUGGCAGGCUCUCGACGAGUGAGAAGCAAGGUAAGAAUGAAAGCGACGCGCGCGUGAAAGGUUCAUCUGCAGCCUGGAUACAAUCUACCCACGGAUAAUGGAGUGAGGCAGCAAUGACGAUGGGCCAACGAGGGCACCACCAACACCAACGAAGGCAAAUGCGGGACGGCUUCGUCGUUUGCGCGGAAACGCCACGCCGCGUCUGGUUGCAAAACGUUUCAGUCUGUCCCAGGCCCACACACAAGAGGGCCCCGCCAAGAGAUGGCCCUGUGGAUGGUAAACAAGUAGACCCCCCCAUAUGGCCUUGUGCGCCCCGAGUCUCCAGGAAUAUCUGAGCGGCCGUGUCUCGGUGCUGGGUCAAUUCCAUCAGAUUGGUGGCUCGCGAGAUUCGCCCGCCGAUGCGCCCGUGGUGUUGUGUGACCUUCGUGAAUAUGAGAUUACGCGACGCAAUUGAGAAAUGUGAAGCGUAAAAACAUACGAGCACAUCCCACCACACCCCGCGAUUCACUUGGCUCCUUGCCUGGCUGCGAGUCAAGGAUGUUUGUGCAGGAAUUGUGCAUAUGCAGCCCCAAAAGUCAAAUAUUCCGUCAUAUAGCCUCAACAGACUAUUUGGAUCAAGCGUUGUUAGCGAGUAGCGCCUAUGCAGGCUGGCACGGCACGCGAGGGGGUGGGUGGCCAGCACCACACCCGGCCGCCUUUAUCUCCCCAGUGGCGGUGUUUAUACACCACACGGGGAAUUCAUCGACCUAUGCACACCAACACACCCACGCACUUGCACACAUGAGUUCAAACUGCAGCCAGUUCAUCCGCAAGUGUUCGAGCGCCGUGCGAACUUAAUCAUUCACAGCUUACAAGAGGUAACAUUUUAAUACAUCCCCUGCCAUGAUCUUGAUGCAUCCACUGCUGGAUGAAGGCAUCACCAAAGCCGUCUCGCCAUCUCUCUCAACCUCACAAAAUCCUGCGCUGCAAACCAUCGUAUCUAGCCCCUGCACACGAGAUGAUUUUCAUUGCUCCGUCCCCGUGAUGGACGUGCCCCAGGGGCACGCUCGCGUUUCCUGCCCUCGGGGCGUGCUCGCGUUUCGUGCCGCGCGUGCUCCGAAGUGAACACGGACGUCGGUGACGACAGCCGCUCCACGAGUUGACUGAGUUUGUCGACCGCGAGACUCGUCGUCCGUUAAUUACUGAACGAAAACAACAAAAAAACCACCCGCCGCACUGCGAUUCGUUAAUUUACCAAUCGUGUUUUAUAAAGAACAAAAAAACCAAGAAAUUAAUUAAACAUUUUAAUUUUUGCUCAUUAGCAAUGUGACAGUUGAAAAGGCUAAAUCGGAUCUCCCCUUAAAGGUUGGCAAUGGCAAGACAAUUGUAAUUUGAAAUAUUUUUUUGGCAAGUUGAGAAAAAUUAAUGUGCAAGCACUGCUCCGUGCAACUAAUUAAGAGCCUAAUGAAUGUGAAAUUGUCAGUGCUAAUUGUUGCCAGAACCCUACAGGAGGUGACAUAUAUUAACUUAUCCAUGUCACACGUUAAUUAUUCUCUGUCUAUUCUUUCAUUAGCUCCCGUUCUCUGACAUCAAUUUCCUUAAAUCAUGGCUAGUGAAGUCAAUUUACAUUUAAGUGCAUAAUGAAACCGGCACUCUUGAGCACACACCGCGUGCCGAUGUGACAGUCUUGUCUGGGAACGUAUCGCUCGCGUUCAGAUCAGAUCCACCGCGCAAGACACCGCCGCAAUGACCCUGCCUCGAGUGUUCACCUUGAGGGCUGCUGCAAGGGGCAGCAGCAGCAGCUCCAGCAGCAGCCGCCCGGCCAACGUCCACGCGAUGGCCUCCGCACUCAGAGGGGACACCCAGAUCACGAAGCAUGCGCCAAAGCCUCGGCUCUCUCGCCACCCACCGCUACGCGAAGCACAUGUUGCAAGAAUUUCCGGCCCUCAGCUGGGCAGCAGCAGCAGCAACAACAGCAGGAGGCCUACAUUGAGAAAACCUCACACAUCGAAACACACGUACACUAAAGAUGAAGAAGAAUGCGUCCAUGUGGUAUCAUGACAUACAGUUAACAAAUUGGUAUCGUCUGCCGGUAGGAGUGCAUUGUUGCUAUUUGGUUUUACCCAAUUAGAUCAAUUAAGUUACUUGUUGGGUAACUUUCAAAUAUGGACCGUGAUGCCGGCGGCAGACACGGCCUAUACCACGUCUGUCUGCUGCGAAGCAGAGGCGGUGUGCAGUGUUCUUGAGCUACACCUGCGGCAACAUCAGGCGGAGGGGGCCUUGUGGCUGUUGAGGGCUGCUGUGCGACGCGUCGAACAAGCAGGCCAAGAGCGGGCAACUUUGGCCACCGACAUGUGGCACCGGCGAGAGAUGCUGGGAUUGAUGGGGGUGGGGAGCCUUCUCAGUCAGUGCCUUCAGACACCGAUAAUUUAACCAUGCAGGUUUACGGUUCUUGCCACGAAAUCUUUAGCUAUCCAAUGUGAAAUGUGAAUUCUUUGGCAUGAUGUCUGACGUUUCGCCCCACGUCCUGGUAGCAUCUUCAGGAACUGAAUGUGGAUUUUCAUGGUUGUGCUGCAUAGCUAAAUUAAGUUCCUGUAGGAGCUCCGAGUAUUUGGAGCCAAACGUCGAACAUCGUGCCGAGCAACGUGUGGUGCAACCAGAAAAAAAACUUCUCAGUGCUAUCCAGCACAACCGUGAAAAUUUCCGAAGGUAAAACAAGAUUUGGGAUUCCAUUUAUUUCUCCACGUGCCCCCAUUAUGGUUUAACGACACUAUCUUAUUUUAACCUUUAUUACAUUUAACUUUCCGAAGGAUUCGGUUACAAGAGAGGUACCAUUUGUUGUUGUUGUUGUUGAAUUGUGUUAAGAGAAUAAUGUUACGUUGCAUGCUCAUGCAAAAGCAGAUAUAAUUACCUGCUAGAUUCCCACCAGAAAUAAAAUGCAAGAAAAUC
Molecule: long non-coding RNA, 4098 nt
Organism: Lethenteron reissneri (Far Eastern brook lamprey)
Lineage: Eukaryota; Metazoa; Chordata; Hyperoartia; Petromyzontiformes; Petromyzontidae
Source: RefSeq, a predicted model, not a curated record